RNAcentral lists this long non-coding RNA (853 nucleotides) under Diabrotica virgifera virgifera (western corn rootworm). RNAcentral describes it as "uncharacterized LOC114334960". Lineage: Eukaryota; Metazoa; Arthropoda; Insecta; Coleoptera; Chrysomelidae. The record is from RNAcentral.
UCUAGUAUAUACACUACAUAUAAUCCGUUGUUGUGGGUAACCAUAUAUCUAGUCAGUAAGCUCACUCCCCGAAAAAUGCAUUGUUUUCAAUGUUCCAAUUUGGCGAAACUGCGCAAAGUCGUCCAAAAUUCGUUUCACCGUGCGCAUCCGAUGAGAGCGGAUACGUUUGCCGAUUGGUCGUGACCGCCAUCUGAUUUUCAUGAAUUUUGUGAGGUUGUGUUUGGGAAUUGUUUGUUGUUUUGGUUAAUUUACCAAUUUAUUUUCAUACAUUUUUCAUAUUAAUAAUAAGUAGUUAUGUAUAUUAUGUACUGUGAAUGUGAUAUUAUUUUCUUAAAUCAAUAAAAUGGAAAUGAAGCAAGCAGAAAACAAUUUUUACAAGGAACAAUGUAAAAUUAAAAUCGAAAGUUCUGGACAACCUGUGUGAUGCUGUAAUAAUUAUGUUCCUAUUCUGUUAAAACUGAGAUAGAGAGUCUUUAAAACUGAUAAAAAUAGUUAUUUCUAUGAUGGAAAUCCUUUGGACCAAAUAAAUAGAGAAGUUAUUAUUGAAGACAUCAAAUAAAAGGAGGAAAAUUUAUGUGAAAAAUGAUUUUCUUCAUAAUAAAAGAAGAACCGACGAUAUUAUGAAACCAGUGUAUGGACGGUGUGUUUUACUGACUUAAAGCAAGAGUACCUUUUAAUACUUGAAUUUGUCACAUUUUUUACUUUCAUAAUUUUAUUUAUGUAAGUUGUGAUUCUAAAAAUAUUGUUAAGUUGUAUUCAUAGUUCUCUACUUGUUCUUUUGAAGUACUGUUUUUAUUAUAAUUGGUAUUGUAAAGUUGAAAUCCUCAAAUCAAAAUAUAAUUUAUAAUUCGAA